GGAGGCUGAUUUCUCAUUGUAAGGAGGAGUAGCUCUCCGCAGAGCCUCGGGAGAUAGGCUCAGGUCAGGAGGCUAAUUGCUGGUGAAAUAGCAUCGAAGGGGAAGGGAGAAAGAUGAAGAAAGAAAGCUCUGUCUCUGAAGCCUGCCUGCCUUUGAGGUUCUUCACCCAUAGGAGACAGAGUAAUUCAGAGACUCCAUCUGGCUUCUUGCCCUGGAUGCUGACCAGUUUGCUUCUGUGACAUUAACCUGGUGCCUGAGAGUCUGAGUGUCAACUAUACAUAAAAGAUUUGAAAAUGAAUAUCACUCAGAGGACAAUGAAGAGCCACUUAAUGGAGGGAGGAUCAUCUCCAGACCUGUAAUACUGAGCAAACAGUUAAAAUGGAAAUUAAAAUCAGGAAAGCAUACUUUACUAGGUAAGGGAAAGAUUAAAAAGCCUGAAAAGACCUGGUACUGGCCUCACUUUCUAACAACUUGGAAAGAUAUUUGUUUCCAAGAUAUUCAAAGCUAUUUGAUUGUGAUAUCUGAAAAUAGUAUUUUAUUCUCUAUCUCUCGUUAUAUGUAUUGUUUUGUUUUUAUCUUCUCUUGACUUUAUUUUUACAGAUGUCAAUUCAAUUCUCAAUUCUUUCUGGGUUCCAAAUCACAGUCUAAGAUUAGGAGUAUAGUUCUGUCCUUCUUUCUCUUCCUGGGACAUUGCAUCAGAUCUUGUCUCGCAUGCCUGCAAUGUACCCCUCCAUGCCUCAGUCUUAUGAGAAAUACUUUUCCUUUUAAACAGAGAUCAAACAUGAUGUUUUUCAUGAAACCCUCUCUGAGCCACCCAAAUGCUAUUACCUUCACUGUAAGAUUGUUUUAUUUAACUUCUGCUUUGUAAAUAUUUGUAUAUAUUCACUUUUGUUCAUGAUAAGGGGUGUGGUAUGGAGGUCUUGUUGUGCCCUCCUAGGCCAGCUCUCCAGCCUCUGACCCCUAUCUGAUACCUAGCUCUCACUUGUGGCUCCUAGUAGCUGCUAGCAUGCGGCAGCGGCCACACCCCGGGCAAUGGCUUCGACAGGCUGGCUAAACCUUGUGAGGGUUGUGUUAUAAAAAAUUCAAAGAUUUUGAUUCUGUUUGAGAAAAGAUCUUCAAGAAAGAAGCUUGAAACUUUUAUAUCCAGAGAAUGAACUGUUGCAGAAAGAUGCCGAAAACCUACACUUCAUCAAGAAGAUCAAGAAUGAACUUUGGAUGUGAUUGAUUGGACUGAACUUUUGAUUGAACAUUUAUUGUAACUGUAUACAUUUAUGCCAAAAGGCACUGCCCCUAAUUUGGCUUUCUGUCAAUGUGCCUAGCAAAACAUUGGUUUUGCUUUCUUUUCUUUUCUAUUUCCUCUCUCACUGUUCUAAUUUCUCUUAGAAAAUUGAAUAUUGUGUAUAUCUAUAGUUAGAAGUGCAUUUAGAACUACAAAUUGAUUAUGUUAAAUGAUCAAUGGGGAGACUAGUCUCCCAAUGAUCAUCGGGGGGAUUGUAAACCUUAAAAUUUUUUAAGACUUAUAAAUGUUGGAAAUUUCACCAUUGGGAAUUUUCAUGCUUGUAGGGAAUUUCAUACUGAUAGUGGGA
RNAcentral lists this long non-coding RNA (1586 nucleotides) under Monodelphis domestica (gray short-tailed opossum). Its description in RNAcentral is "lncRNA (ENSMODG00000031381.2)". The record is from RNAcentral. Lineage: Eukaryota; Metazoa; Chordata; Mammalia; Didelphimorphia; Didelphidae.